Molecule: ribosomal RNA, 439 nt
Filed under: uncultured bacterium
Lineage: Bacteria
Description: partial 16S ribosomal RNA
Rfam family: Bacterial small subunit ribosomal RNA
Source: RNAcentral
CUACGGGCGGCUCCAGUGGGGAAUCUUGGACAAUGGGCGCAAGCCUGAUCCAGCCAUGCCGCGUGAGUGAAGAAGGCCUUAGGGUCGUAAAGCUCUUUCGCCAGAGAUGAUAAUGACAGUAUCUGGUAAAGAAACCCCGGCUAACUCCGUGCCAGCAGCCGCGGUAAUACGGAGGGGGUUAGCAUUGUUCGGAAUUACUGGGCGUAAAGCGCGCGUAGGCGGAUUAGUCAGUCAGAGGUGAAAUCCCAGGGCUCAACCCUGGAACUGCCUUUGAUACUGCUAGUCUUGAGUUCGAGAGAGGUGAGUGGAAUUCCGAGUGUAGAGGUGAAAUUCGUAGAUAUUCGGAGGAACACCAGUGGCGAAGGCGGCUCACUGGCUCGAUACUGACGCUGAGGUGCGAAAGUGUGGGGAGCAAACAGGAUUAGAUACCCCUGUAGUC